Molecule: ribosomal RNA, 478 nt
Filed under: uncultured bacterium
Lineage: Bacteria
Description: partial 16S ribosomal RNA
Rfam family: Bacterial small subunit ribosomal RNA
Source: RNAcentral
GACGAACGCUGGCGGCGUGCUUAACACAUGCAAGUCGAGCGGUAAGGCCUUUCGGGGUACACGAGCGGCGAACGGGUGAGUAACACGUGGGUGAUCUGCCCUGCACUCUGGGAUAAGCCUGGGAAACUGGGUCUAAUACUGGAUAUGACCUCAGCAUGCAUGUGCUGGGGUGGAAAGCUUUUGUGGUGCAGGAUGGGCCCGCGGCCUAUCAGCUUGUUGGUGGGGUAAUGGCCUACCAAGGCGACGACGGGUAGCCGACCUGAGAGGGUGACCGGCCACACUGGGACUGAGACACGGCCCAGACUCCUACGGGAGGCAGCAGUGGGGAAUAUCGCACAAUGGGCGCAAGCCUGAUGCAGCAACGCCGCGUGAGGGACGACGGCCUUCGGGUUGUAAACCUCUUUUAGCAGGGAAGAAGCGAGAGUGACGGUACCUGCAGAAAAAGCACCGGCUAACUACGUGCCAGCAGCCGCCGCAG